CCAGACUCCUACGGGAGGCAGCAGUGGGGAAUAUUGCACAAUGGGGGGAGCCCUGAUGCAGCGACGCCGCGUGGGUGAAGGAGCACCUCGGUGCGUAAAGCCCUAUCGGCAGGGAAGAAAAAGACGGUACCUGACUAAGAAGCCCCGGCUAACUACGUGCCAGCAGCCGCGGUAAUACGUAGGGGGCAAGCGUUAUCCGGAUUUACUGGGUGUAAAGGGCGUGUAGGCGGGUGCGCAAGUCAGAUGUGAAAGCCAGGGGCUCAACCUGGGGCCUGCAUUUGAAACUGUGUUUCUUGAGUGCUGGAGAGGCAGACGGAAUUCCUAGUGUAGCGGUGAAAUGCGUAGAUAUUAGGAGGAACACCAGUGGCGAAGGCGGUCUGCUGGACAGCAACUGACGCUGAGGCGCGAAAGCGUGGGGAGCAAACAGGAUUAGAUACCCUCGUA
Molecule: ribosomal RNA, 444 nt
Filed under: uncultured bacterium
Lineage: Bacteria
Description: bacterial SSU rRNA
Rfam family: Bacterial small subunit ribosomal RNA
Source: RNAcentral